GACGAACGCUGGCGGCGUGCCUAAUACAUGCAAGUAGAACGCUGAAGAGAGGAGCUUGCUCUUCUUGGAUGAGUUGCGAACGGGUGAGUAACGCGUAGGUAACCUGCCUGGUAGCGGGGGAUAUCUAUUGGAAACGAUAGCUAAUACCGCAUAAAAUUGAUUAUUGCAUGAUAAUUAAUUGAAAGAUGCAACUGCAUCACUACCAGAUGGACCUGCGUUGUAUUAGCUAGUUGGUGAGGUAACGGCUCACCAAGGCGACGAUACAUAGCCGACCUGAGAGGGUGAUCGGCCACACUGGGACUGAGACACGGCCCAGACUCCUACGGGAGGCAGCAGUAGGGAAUCUUCGGCAAUGGGGGGAACCCUGACCGAGCAACGCCGCGUGAGUGAAGAAGGUUUUCGGAUCGUAAAGCUCUGUUGUAAGAGAAGAACGGGUGUGAGAGUGGAAAGUUCACACUGUGACGGUAUCUUACCAGAAAGGGACGGCUAACUACGUG
This 497-nucleotide ribosomal RNA is filed under the name uncultured bacterium. Its description in RNAcentral is "partial 16S ribosomal RNA". It matches the Rfam family "Bacterial small subunit ribosomal RNA", at positions 28 to 507 of the family's 1533-position model. The record is from RNAcentral.